This 72-nucleotide transfer RNA is filed under the name marine sediment metagenome. It matches the Rfam family "tRNA". Rfam says of the family: Transfer RNA (tRNA) molecules are approximately 80 nucleotides in length. Their secondary structure includes four short double-helical elements and three loops (D, anti-codon, and T loops). The record is from RNAcentral.
GGGCCGAUAGCUUAAUGGAAGAGCACCGCAUUUGCACUGCGGAGGUUAGGGGUUCGAGCCCCCUUCGGUCCA